RNAcentral lists this long non-coding RNA (270 nucleotides) under Lathyrus oleraceus (garden pea). RNAcentral's name for it is "Pisum sativum (pea) long non-coding RNA (PSAT_LNC003766)". Lineage: Eukaryota; Viridiplantae; Streptophyta; Magnoliopsida; Fabales; Fabaceae. The record is from RNAcentral.
CCCUUUGAGCUUAAACAGUUGAAUCUCGGCUUGAAAUAAAGCGAGAUCUCAAAAAUCUUUUUUUUACAACCCGAAAAAUCUUGAUUAUUGUUCUUUUGCCGUAAAAAGUUAAGAGCAUUCACUUAGGGUGUGGAAGAAAUAAGUUGGGGAGAACGAAAAAGAAUUGGUAAGUACCACAACUCUUGAAAAAGAAAAGAAAAACCGAGCAAGCAUAGAAAAAUAUAUGUAUAGAAAAUAUAGAAAAGAAACAUCUGUUUUGUAUAUUUGAUG